This 792-nucleotide small RNA is filed under the name Histoplasma capsulatum var. duboisii H88. RNAcentral describes it as "Histoplasma capsulatum H88 hypothetical RNA". Lineage: Eukaryota; Fungi; Ascomycota; Eurotiomycetes; Onygenales; Ajellomycetaceae. The record is from RNAcentral.
AUGCAUGGUGAACAGGGGGCAACCCAUAUCUGGUAAAUUGACCUUUGGAUGUCCUGACCCGUUUUCACGAUAAAACAAAACGGCACAGGCUCUGUCUGAUCAACGACGUUCAUCAACGGCCACUUAGCGGAUAACUGCUUCAUUAGCCACCUUCUUCAAGAUAUUUUCCUGCUGCAUACACCCAAUUUUUUCGAUUAGCUCACUGUCACCGAAUCAGAAAGUCCGCUGCAUCACCUACAGCGGCCAUCGUUGAGCCUUCGGACUGAGAAGAUGGGCAGCACAACCCAAGCUACACAAUGUCCUGUACCAAAUGGACCAACAACAACUGCCUUCUCCAUGCCGACCCCUUUGCAAUAUGCUGCCAAACUACAACAAGUAGCGGUGGUCGUUGUUUGAAGACUAUCCAAAGCUAUGAUCAGUCCACUUGCAGUGGUGCAGCGAAUCAAGCCCGCAGCUGUGCCGCGACGCCCUGAAGUUUGGCAUAUCAGAGGGCAUCCCCACGAGAUUCAGUUUGACCUGAACCACAUCCACGCCACGCCUUGCUGCUUUUAUGCAGCUGCUCAUCGAGCUUCGGUUGCAAGCCUAUAGCCGUCGAUUCCUGUUCGGCCUGUCGCUGCUUUCUGUACAAGUCAUCCACUCUCGGAUGGCAGUGGGGUUCAAUUGAAUCCUACGGACCAGUCGGGAGAUAAAUAAUGUAUUCCGAUGCUGUUGCAGAAUUCAAUCGUUUCGCCUCCACAAGCACCCACAAAAGACAAUCGAAACGCGGGUCUGCUUAUAUUUUAUUGAACCGGU